RNAcentral lists this long non-coding RNA (443 nucleotides) under Chrysolophus pictus (golden pheasant). Its description in RNAcentral is "lncRNA (ENSCPIG00010009528.1)". The record is from RNAcentral. Lineage: Eukaryota; Metazoa; Chordata; Aves; Galliformes; Phasianidae.
GUUUUUCAGCUGAUUUAGUGUUCUGAGAGGUCCUAACACAUCUUCUAUCUUUUGUCAGCUUUGGAAGCACUUACUUAGCCUAUAUCAGGAUGACUCAAAACAACAUCAGUGUUUGUCUCUGGAGUGAAAAGAAAUAAUGUGCUUUGUUCUGCUGCUUCCUAUUCAAAGAUUUUGGAGAUGGAGAGAAACUCCAUGCUGGAUAACUUGACGUAUCUCUCAUAGUGGAGUUGUACUUCAAAAGAUGUCACCAUGAUGAAGCCCUUGAUGGAUUCCUGGGUGAGUCCCACAUGGUGGUGAUGGAUUGCUGCUCUGUGCUGCUGCACGCUCCAGCUGUCUCCAUGGUUCAGUCUGCUGGAUUGACAGAGCCCAUAAAUCACUCUGGAAGAGGAAUCGCACUGGGAAGCAGAAGUUGCUGUAGAGGUGAAAGGUUCUGCAACUGACUC